Calliphora vicina (urban bluebottle blowfly) is the source of this 177-nucleotide long non-coding RNA. RefSeq lists it as uncharacterized. The record is from RefSeq and is a predicted model, not a curated record. NCBI's taxonomy places the organism in Eukaryota, Metazoa, Arthropoda, Insecta, Diptera, Calliphoridae. The transcript has 2 exons.
AAACAACAAUUACAAUAACAACAACAAAAUUAAGGAUUAUUUAAAAUAACAACGAAUAUUUACACAACGCUGUUUACAAAACAAAUAAACAACACAAAAUAAUUAUUCGCUCCAUUAGCAGGCAACGGAUGUUAAAACAACUACUUUGAUAAACAAGAUACAAAAUUAAAAUAAAAA